Molecule: long non-coding RNA, 637 nt
Filed under: Junco hyemalis (dark-eyed junco)
Lineage: Eukaryota; Metazoa; Chordata; Aves; Passeriformes; Passerellidae
Description: lncRNA (ENSJHYG00000006538.1)
Source: RNAcentral
GCCGGUGCGUGUGUGGGCGGGGCUGAGGGGAGCGCGGAGCGGGGGCGGAGCGAGUGAGCUGCUCUGCCAUGGGAAUGCUGCGCGAAGCUGCGUUUCAGCGUUUCCAAGAUUAUUCGACUUUACGAGCCUAAAAAUGGGUGACCAAGGAAGAUGUGGCAGCCAGCAGUGACCAUCACCUGGAGGGAGCUGUGGCAGAGGUUAGCAGGUAAGAGAGGCUGAGCAAACCAAGGAAAUGUUGAACUAUGUUAAUAAUAGGGAGUGGAGAAGUUAUGAUCUGUUGGGAUAGUAACAAGGUGGCCAGCUAAUUAGGUUAUAAAAUCAAUUCUAGGCAAGAAAAUGAAAAUUAAUGGCUUUGCUGGGCACAGCAUAGCUGCAAAUGAAAUUAUUCCCUGAAUGUGAUUUUUCCAGAGCAUCAUCUGAGGCAUUCUUGUGUUAGAUACCCGUAUUGCCCUUGAAAGAAACAAAAUGAGCAGUCUUAAAAUGAAGUUGCAUUCAAACCAGAAGUAUUUAUACUGAGGAAAAAAACCCCAUGGUCAUUACACAGUACAGUGGGCCAAAUGCUAAGAGAGUGAAUUGAUGGUGUGAUUGCUUAUUUUAUUGUAAUAAAACACAUUUUCACAAGAGCUUAGGCUUUCUC